UACAGAGGUCUCAAGCGUUGUUCGGAUUCAUUGGGCGUAAAGGGUGCGUAGGCGGCGUGGUAAGUCGGGUGUGAAAUCUCGGAGCUUAACUCCGAAACUGCAUUCGAUACUGCCGUGCUUGAGGACUGGAGAGGAGACUGGAAUUCACGGUGUAGCAGUGAAAUGCGUAGAUAUCGUGAGGAAGACCAGUGGCGAAGGCGGAUCUCUGGACAGUUCCUGACGCUGAGGCGCGAAGGCCAGGGGAGCAAACGGG
RNAcentral lists this ribosomal RNA (253 nucleotides) under uncultured bacterium. Its description in RNAcentral is "partial 16S ribosomal RNA". It matches the Rfam family "Bacterial small subunit ribosomal RNA", at positions 524 to 776 of the family's 1533-position model. The record is from RNAcentral.